CCCUAAGUACUCUUAAAGUUCAAUGCAGAAAACAAGCAGAUUAUCAGAGAAUAGAGGUGAUAAGUGCCAUGACCCAACAUGGCAGGAGGUCCAGGGGAACACCUCCCUCAGGUAGAGUUAAAGAAGGGAGAAGGACGGUAUGGCUUUUCCAGGAAGAAGGAGAAGCCAGUGUAAAAACUGAGCAUCUGGAAGUCUAUGACACAUCUUUGAACCUGCAAGUAUUUUUAUGUGGCUAAAGUGUUGAACAUAAGUGGGGGAGUGGCCAAAUGUGAGACUGGAGAAGGUAACAGAUCAGGAGGUCUUAGGGACCACACAGCAGAAAAUUGGAGACAGAAUGACCAUAUUUUACAGACUGGUUUGCGCCUUCGUGCCCUCAUGCCUUUACUCAGACCAUUCUCGCUCCUGGAAAUGCACUCUGGAAGUGAAGGCUGACAACAUCCUGCUGAACUUUCAGGGCUCAGUUCAGGGUUUUCCUUCGGAGUACCGGAAGCAGAAGCACUUCCUUCCACCACUCUGCUGGAACAUGCUGUAUCUACUUCUUUAAUAGGACUUAACACUCCACUGUAUUUGCACUUAACACUUGUCAUUGUAUGUCUGUCUUCCCAGAAAACUGAAUUUUUUUAAAGCAGGAACCCAUAUUGUUUACCUUUAUGUUUCCCUAAUAGUCUCUGGCCUGCAAUAGCCCAUGUUUGUGGAAUAAACAACUUACCUUGUGACCUUGCCAGCCCAUCACAGCUCUCUCUCAGGAAGUGAGUAACACCAAACCACCUAUAUAACGGACAAAACUUCUCCUGGGCAGAGAGCUGCUGAUCUGGGCAGGGACCGCCAGGAGAGCACCGGCCUACUGCAGGGUCACCACCGCCCCCCACCCAUGAAGCCAUGCCAAAGACCUGUCUCCUCUUCUUCCUCACCAUCUUCUGCGCAGGGGUCUCACUGGAUAUAAUUUUGAAACCGGAUACCAAAGCACUGACUGUCCUCAUUGGGGAGGCUGCUACCUUCCGUUGCAGUGUAACAGGAGGCGACCUGAAGAACUAUCAAAUAAGCUGGUAUAAGAAGAGUGAAGAUAACUCUCUGAUUUUGAUCUCCAAACUAAGCAACAAUUCUAAUGACAAUUUAGGGAAUAAUUUCAAGGUGAAAAUCGAUACUUUAAAAAGUCAAUUUAUGCUUGACAUUCAAAAAGCAACAACACAAGAUGUUGGGACUUACUACUGUGCGUCUGAUAUCCACAGUGCUGCGGCUCCGUUUCUGACCGCUUCAGAAACCCUAGGGCCAAACUGAGGCGGCAGAUCCAAUUCGAGACCACUCCGGGCUAAAAUGUGCACCACACCUGAGAUGAAGCUGCCUGAUCACUUCAACAGUAACAUCUGAUAAAAGAGGCCAGGAGUUGAAAUGGGGGCAAGGGGCUUAUCUUUGCAGUUGGCUUAGAGGGGCCUUCUUUAUCAGUUGAAGAGGGCAGAAAAGACUGUGAGGAUUAUUGUGGAGAGAUGUUGUGGGGGGAGGGGGGUUGCUGCACCUGUUUCUCACAGGCUCCUGAGGAAAGGUUGAAAAUAACAGCUUUUAAUACUGAAUAGGCCCUCUCAUUGUGAAGGCAGGCUGAGAUAAACAGAACUUUUACUAUCAUGAGUGCUAUAGCUCAUUGCAGUCUUUAUUGUGAAAGUGUUCAUGUGCAUAAGCCAGAUAAAGCAAGGAUGGUUUUCCAUUACCAUCCUAAUCAAAAUUUCCAAAGCUAUUAGAGAUAGCUUUAAUUCUUACUCUGUGAAGAAGGAUGAAUAGAGUCAUUUUCUGAAAUGUUUCCACAACUAUUUCAGGUAUUGAGUGUUUUAUAUCUUCCCUCAGCUGCCGAAGAGUCCUGGGGACCGGUAGGGGUGAGCAGGAAGGGGAAAUGCACAGGCUUCCUUCAUGCCGGUUGCUGAGAGAGAGCUUAGAGACAAAUACUUGUGGCAAUGUGGAAUUUCUGAGUUGAGCAUGGGUCAACUAAAUUAAAAAAUUUAUUUGAUUCCCGAGUCCCAAGUUGAAAUGGGUAAGCCAAGAAGGUAUGAGACUGCAGGGAGCAAAUACCUGGAGGAACCCACUGAGCAGACGAGUAGGCAGAGGGGCUUAAACAUACAAACAUUAAACCCUCAUCCAGGUAGUGCCUUCAUCCUGUUGGCUCUCUUUGUUCUGCUCAAAUAUCUGUCUGGAAUCCUCUCUCUACCUAAGGUUAAAAUUCAGGCAUUAGGACACAGUGUAGACAUAAUCGUAAAAAUUACAACUAAAAGUCAACCCUCCUGAUACCUUCUAUUCAACGUUUCUUCCAAUGUGCUAUCAUCUUCAUCACAUGUUUUUUCUAGGGUACUUACUGUUCGUGGUAUUGGGACGGGUCAUGGGAAUAGCAAAGUUCUAAGGCAAGUUCUAGUCAAAGUUCUAUUCUCAUCAAUGUGUUUUCAAUUUAGUUUUAAAAGACAGGGCAUUCGAAAGUACAAUUAAAGAUUACAAAGAAUACAAAAAUAUAAGACAGCACAUAUGAUAAUGAGGGUUAGUGAUUUCAUGUGCAGCGCUCUAGGAGUUUAUGAAAGGACCAACCACUCUGAGAAAAGUUUCUUAGGUUUGA
Molecule: non-coding RNA, 2590 nt
Organism: Macaca mulatta (Rhesus monkey)
Lineage: Eukaryota; Metazoa; Chordata; Mammalia; Primates; Cercopithecidae
Source: the annotation of a RefSeq genome assembly